UACGGGGGGGGCAAGCGUUGUUCGGAAUUACUGGGCGUAAAGGGCGCGUAGGCGGUUCGCUAAGUCGGAUGUGAAAACUCUGGGCUCAACCCAGAGCCUGCAUCCGAAACUGGCGGGCUAGAGUUCUGGAGGGGGUAGCGGAAUUCCUGGUGUAGCGGUGAAAUGCGUAGAUAUCAGGAAGAACACCCGUGGCGAAGGCGGCUCUCUGGGACGGUACUGACGCUGAGACGCGAAAGCGUGGGGAGCGAACAGG
Molecule: ribosomal RNA, 253 nt
Filed under: uncultured bacterium
Lineage: Bacteria
Description: partial 16S ribosomal RNA
Rfam family: Bacterial small subunit ribosomal RNA
Source: RNAcentral